RNAcentral lists this ribosomal RNA (329 nucleotides) under uncultured eukaryote. Its description in RNAcentral is "partial 18S ribosomal RNA". It matches the Rfam family "Eukaryotic small subunit ribosomal RNA", at positions 1470 to 1796 of the family's 1831-position model. The record is from RNAcentral.
CCCUUAGAUGUUCUGGGCCGCACGCGCGCUACACUGAUGCAUUCAACGAGUCUAAAACCUGCUCUGAUAGGGGUGGGUAAUCUUUUGAAUGUGCAUCGUGAUUGGGAUAGAUGAUUGCAAUUUUUCAUCUUCAACGAGGAAUGCCUAGUAAACGCAAGUCAUCAGCUUGCAUUGAUUACGUCCCUGCCCUUUGUACACACCGUCCGUCGCUCCUACCGAUUGAAUGAUCCGAUGAAUAUCAUGGAUUGAGGAUGCAAGUAGGUUAGCCUAUCUUCAUCUUCGAGAAGUGAAGUAAAUCUUAUCAUUUAGAGGAAGGAGAAGUCGUAACA